This 180-nucleotide ribosomal RNA is filed under the name uncultured Glomeromycotina. Its description in RNAcentral is "partial small subunit ribosomal RNA". The stretch from base 40 to 180 matches the Rfam family "Eukaryotic small subunit ribosomal RNA", at positions 686 to 829 of the family's 1831-position model. Lineage: Eukaryota; Fungi; Glomeromycota. The record is from RNAcentral.
GGGUCAGCAGGUUGGUCGUGCCACUGGUAUGUACUGGCCUUGCUGAUUCCUCCCUCUUGAUGAGCCGUAAUGCCAUUAAUUUGGUGUUGCGGGGAAUCAGGACUGUUACUUUGAAAAAAUUAGAGUGUUCAAAGCAGGCAUAUGCUCGAAUACAUUAGCAUGGAAUAAUAGAAUAGGACG